RNAcentral lists this ribosomal RNA (598 nucleotides) under Metuloidea murashkinskyi. RNAcentral's name for it is "partial 28S ribosomal RNA". It matches the Rfam family "Eukaryotic large subunit ribosomal RNA", at positions 66 to 648 of the family's 3401-position model. The record is from RNAcentral. Lineage: Eukaryota; Fungi; Basidiomycota; Agaricomycetes; Polyporales; Steccherinaceae.
UAACAAGGAUUCCCCUAGUAACUGCGAGUGAAGCGGGAAAAGCUCAAAUUUAAAAUCUGGCAGCUUUGGUUGUCCGAGUUGUAGUCUGGAGAAGCGUUUUCUGUGCUGGACCGUGUACAAGUCUCUUGGAAUAGAGCGUCAUAGAGGGUGAGAAUCCCGUCUUUGACACGGACUGCCAGUGCUUUGUGAUGCGCUCUCAAAGAGUCGAGUUGUUUGGGAAUGCAGCUCAAAAUGGGUGGUAAAUUCCAUCUAAAGCUAAAUAUUGGCGAGAGACCGAUAGCGAACAAGUACCGUGAGGGAAAGAUGAAAAGCACUUUGGAAAGAGAGUUAAACAGUACGUGAAAUUGCUGAAAGGGAAACGAUUGAAGUCAGUCGCGUCUGUCAGAACUCAGCCUGGCUUUUGCCUGGUGCAUUUUCUGGUGGACGGGCCAGCAUCAAUUUCGACCGCUGGAUAAAGGCCUUGGGAAUGUGGCACCUUCGGGUGUGUUAUAGCCCUUGGUUGUAUACGGUGGUUGGGAUUGAGGAUCUCAGCAUGCCUUUAUGGUCGGGGUUCGCCCACGUUCAUGCUUAGGAUGCUGGCGUAAUGGCUUUAAACGAC